This 472-nucleotide ribosomal RNA is filed under the name uncultured organism. Its description in RNAcentral is "partial 16S ribosomal RNA". It matches the Rfam family "Bacterial small subunit ribosomal RNA", at positions 334 to 797 of the family's 1533-position model. The record is from RNAcentral.
CACUCCUACGGGAGGCAGCAGUGGGGAAUUUUGGACAAUGGGCGAAAGCCUGAUCCAGCAAUGCCGCGUGUGUGAAGAAGGCCUUCGGGUUGUAAAGCACUUUUGUCCGGAAAGAAAUCCUUGGCUCUAAUACAGUCGGGGGAUGACGGUACCGGAAGAAUAAGCACCGGCUAACUACGUGCCAGCAGCCGCGGUAAUACGUAGGGUGCGAGCGUUAAUCGGAAUUACUGGGCGUAAAGCGUGCGCAGGCGGUUUGCUAAGACCGAUGUGAAAUCCCCGGGCUCAACCUGGGAACUGCAUUGGUGACUGGCAGGCUAGAGUAUGGCAGAGGGGGGUAGAAUUCCACGUGUAGCAGUGAAAUGCGUAGAGAUGUGGAGGAAUACCGAUGGCGAAGGCAGCCCCCUGGGCCAAUACUGACGCUCAUGCACGAAAGCGUGGGGAGCAAACAGGAUUAGAAACCCUAGUAGUCCCA